Canis lupus familiaris (dog) is the source of this 4483-nucleotide long non-coding RNA. RefSeq lists it as uncharacterized. Lineage: Eukaryota; Metazoa; Chordata; Mammalia; Carnivora; Canidae. The record is from RefSeq and is a predicted model, not a curated record. The transcript is spliced from 4 exons.
GUGUGGAGAGAAGAAAAAACAAGGAACAACAGAAACAGAAUUCUGGAGAGGGCCCAUGAUGUAGACCAGGAAGGUGCAGCCAGAGGGAAGGAGCCAAUGGAGUUAUGCUGUGCUGAGAAAGGCCAGAUAAAGUAGCAUUUCAAGAUGGAGAGACAUAUGCUGCUAAGCAAGGAGGCCUUCUGGGUACUUGGAGGGAGCAGUUUCAGGAAAGGGGUGAAGACCAUGGCCACACUACUGUGGACUGGGGAGAAAGUAGGGGCGAGGAAGAAAAGACAAAAUACUUUCCAGGGAACAGCUGGAGAUAGGGCAAGUCUUCGCAGGGCCGGAGGAGUCUCACAGAGCAAAGUGCAGAGGCAUCAACGAGGGGAUCUUUUUGGCACACUGGAGUUUGUGCAAAAGGAAUGUUAAGAAUCAUGCUGAUAUGCAUUGGGGUCAGCAAGCGGAAGACUUUGAACACAAGGAUGAGGAAGUUUGAUUUCUUUGGAGAUCCCUGAAGGCUUUUGAGCAGAGGCACAACCCAAUUACGGAAUUCCAGCCUGUCAUGCCUGAAGUUGACCUCACCCUUGACAAUCAAUAAUGACAUUAGUUCAUCCUUCAUUCUCCACACACUCUACUCCUUGCUCUUGACCAACUCCGGGUGGAAACAUGCAGAGACUCACUUCACAAUUCCCAUCUGACUUGUCUCCUGAGCUUCCAAAGGCUCCCUUUCAACCCCAAGGAAAAUUGCAUGGCCCACGGCUUCUGUGUUCCCAGCAACAUUUUUGCUCUUGUGUUUUGCCUAUCCUGGUGCUCCCACUGGAAUACCUGCCCUUCUCUUUGCUUAUCUCUGCUUUCCCAGGUGGACAGCCAACAAUUAUUAUAGGCUGAAGACUAUAAGCCUUUGUGAAGCUUGCCCCUUCUCCAAGGCCCAUCACCUAUUCCAGAACCUCUCCCACGACUAUGCCUCAGCCAGCUCCCCCUGCAAGGCCAGUGAAGUGUCAACUCUGUAUUACAGAUGAUUUGGAUCACAUAUGGCAUUUGCCCAGCAGGUUAGAACUUGGUCCUCUUCUACCUGUUUUUGCUGCUUCCAGUUCAUCUCAUGCAGGUGAGCUGUGCCAGUCAAGGGACGCUGAGCUCUAUGGGAGCAAUCACUCCACUUUGAGACCUCAGGGGCUUCACAUGGCACAAGCUGAUUUCUUGCUCAUGCUGUAUGUCCACCAUGGAUUGGUGGGAGGUCCUUCUCCUUGAGGACCUGGGCUGAUGGUGACCUGGCAUCUUGUAGCUUCACCAUCUGGAAUGGUGUUGUCCGAGAGAAUUUUCUGCCGUGAUGGAAUGUCUUAUAUGUGCUGUGCAAUGCAACCUCUACUAGCCACAUGUGGCUAUCAAGGACUUGAAACAUGCUAGUGUGACUGAGAAACAGAAUUUUGAAUUUCAUUGAAUUUUAACGAAUUUCAAUAGCCAUAUGCGGCUAUGGCUACCACACUUGGCAGUGCAGCUCCGUACCACGAAGUCUCUAUAUCCAUCUCCCAGGUGCCAGCAGAAGAGAGCACGUGGAGAAACUUGCCUACUUUUCUGUGCUCAGCCAAGAAGUCAUCACUGGUCAGACUGGACAGAGCAGGGACCCCACCUAACUGCCAGGAAGCUGGAGAGUGUGCGGGACCCACGAAUACUUAGAGAGCAAGAAAUAACUUCCCCACCGAGCUCUUCUCAAACCUUCCUGGGGCUAAGAGGCAUAGACUUGGAGCCACAGAUUCAGAAGGGCUGCGUGGAGAGAAAGAACAAGGAUGGACUGAGACGGAGUGGAGAGAUUGUACCUUUGAGAUGCCGAGAUGGGCCCAGAGAGGACGAAGAGUAUAAUCACCGGCCACACAGACUGGCUGAGCCUAGAGUCCUGAGGUCCUGGCUCAGAGAUGAGAGAAUGGGGAAGGCAGGAUACUCUAGCGUGCCUGAGGGAACAAGGGACACUGGCUGGACACAUCUAGCCUUUCAUUCUGGGUCCCUGGGAAGGGAAGAGCUUACUAGCUGCCAGAGGCCUGUUCUCAGAGCCCUUGGAAGGGAAGGGCCCCACAAGGCUUUCAGUUUUCAAAUGGCUUUGGCUCAUCGCCCCCCUGAGCUUCACCGGCUGGAGUGGGUUUGAGGGAGCCGAAGUGGAGCACAGCAGCACAAGAGGAGACUAUUUCGGAGUCCAGGUGACUGAAGGAGGACCCGGGCGGUGUCAGUUUGAUGGAGAGAAGUGGAUGGAUCUGAGGACACGUCGGAAAGAGCCUUGCCCUGACUUCCUGCAGCAUUGGGUGUGGGGGUGAGGGGCUGGGGGUGCUCUAAGUUUGGGGCCUGGAGAAGCAGGGUAGUUGGAGGGGCCACCCGCUGGGACUGGAACAAGGCCUCCUUCCCUAACCCAUCCCGACUGCCUCACCCCGUGACUUCAGCAAGUGAGUAACAUGUGCUGUGGCCUCUCCCUGCUCCCUUCCUCGCAGAGCAGAUGGCGAGGGAAGGAAGAAGGCCAAGCCUCUGCGGCUGUGACUGUACUUUCCACUUUUAGCUCAGCACUUGGGAGCCCAUGGCCUUGCCAUUCCUUGCCUCCCACUCCUGGUUGUCUUAGCUCUGCUCCAAAUCAAAUCCAGCCCCAUAUUGUUUACUGAGCACCUGCUGUGGCCCUGCUGUGUGAAGGCCACCAUGGGAGAUGCCGGAGGAGCACGCGUGGUCCCACCUUGGUGACGUGAGGAGAGCUGGGGUGGCGGGAGGGGCCAAGCAGCCGGGGAGCAUGGUGGAAAGAGAGUCCUAGAAAGCUGUGGGCACUUUCUGAGGUCCAACCAUGGGAGCUGGAGGCAGAGUUAGCAGCUCUGAUUAACUCCUGAGGCAGCGAAGGUCCAGCUCUACCUCCCCAACACACACAAGCAUGCAUGCACACACACGUGUGCAUGAGUGUGCACGGCUCCUGACCUCCACCCUCAGCCUUCCUAUCUCCUUCCUCCCUGACGGGGUGGAAAGAAGAAGACUGAGCACUCACCUGUCCACUUCCCUGCCUUACCAUCCCAGACUGCUUCCAGAUAAGAGGCCUCCUAAGACAGCUAUUGCUGGUCCUCUAUUCUGAACUUCCCCACAGAGCAAGUCAACUUGUGUGUCUCUAGAAUGUUCCAGUGGUUCUCAAGGCAUGGACCCCAGACCAAUAGCAUCCACAUCAUCUAGGAACUUGAUGGAAAUGCACAUUCUUGGGGUACCUGGGUGGCUCAGUGGGUUAAGUGUCUGAUUCUUGAUUUCAGCUUAGGUCCUAAUCUCAGGGAGGUGAAAUCGAGCCUUGUGUUGGACCCUGUGCUGGGAAUGGAGCCUGAAUAAAAUUCUCUCUCUCUUUCUCCCUCUGCCCACAGCCCGCCCCCCCCCCACAUUAGUUCUCUCUCUCUCUGAAAGAAAGAAAGAAGAAAGCAAGAAAGCAAGAAAGAAAGAAAAAUGCACAUUUCUUAGGCCCCAUCCCAGACUUACUGAAUCAGUAGCUCUGGGGGUGGGCCUUCAGAAUCUCUGUUUUCAAGAGCAACAUCUCCCUGGCCCCUCCACCAGGGGAUUCAGGCACACACUCUGGUUGUAGAGCCUCGGCUAUCCUGGGACAAAACUUCCCCCCAGAAAAGGGAGACAUUUCUCUUCUGCUGCUCUCCCUGAGAGAGGAUGCACCAGUGGUUCCUUCAGGGCUGAACCCUGCCUCCCCCCAGAAGUCUUUUCCGUCCAUAUGGACUCGAGCUCUUCAGGUUUAUCGCCGCUCCCAUCAUCCCCUGGGUCUGUGGGAGUGAAGGCCAGGUGGCUGCAUCUGCCGCUGUGUCACCCGCCCUCUCAACCCCCAGCCCGGCCUGCCAUAUCCACACGGUGUCCUCAGAGGAGCCAGUAUCAUCCAUGGAGAACAUCAGGGCAGCAGAAUAAAUGGGUUGGUUUGUGAAAAGGGAAGGGCAAUAUCUCAAUUCAGUUCACCGGGCUCCCAUUUCUGCCCUAGAACCUUGUCCCUAGCAGUGGAGGGAAGCAACACGAAGCCAUUGGUGUUGCAGGUGAGCGAUGAAAGGCUGGUGUGCCCUGCAGACAGAAUCAGUUGUCAGCUGGCUGCCUCUGGGGAGGGCAUGGCUUUGCUGCCCUAAGGAGCUGAUAUGACAACGUUCUAUUUAACCAGGGGUCCCUGUUGUCUCUAAAACUCCAGGCAAGAGCCAUCCACCAAACAGACCCUCCUUCAAGGAUUCCUGCUUCACAGGGCCCUUGGAAGAGCUUGUGGGAGGGACAGAGUGGGGUGCAGGGUUACUUCCUGCCAGUGGGGCCCCUCCUGCCUUGUGAGCAUUUGGCCAAAUAUCAAAUUUUUUCGUGGCAGUUUUUUCAUUGCCUUUUAUCAUUUUCUGGUUUUAGUCUCCCAUGAGUUGUAAAGCUAUGUGUGCUUAAACUGUACAUACUGGGUGGGAGUGGGGUGUUUGGCGCUAGACUGGGCAGGGCCAGAAGAAGGGAGGCACCAUGCAACCCUUUCAGAGGAGCAGACACU